Molecule: non-coding RNA, 524 nt
Organism: Myodes glareolus (Bank vole)
Lineage: Eukaryota; Metazoa; Chordata; Mammalia; Rodentia; Cricetidae
Source: RefSeq, a predicted model, not a curated record
CUUGCAGUCUGCAGGACUUGAUGGGCACAGUGUGGAGAGACAGGACCAACUGAGGGUCAGUGACAUUGAUUAGGGAUGUCACCGGGAACGCUGGGAGGAAGGGCUCCCUCAGGGUAACCAGUCUUUGAUCUGGGGCAUGGCUGGACAAGUAUGGAUCUGAAUCCAUGGAAAUUCUGCCUCAUACUUGAGUGUCCUGAGAACCUUCCAAGAUGCUCCAGGUUCUGGGAUUGAACUCGGGUCCUCAUGAUUGCAUGAAAUCGGUAACACUAACAAAGGGCCUUGUGAGAAUCUGCCUCUGCCCUGUCCUCCACCGGCAUGAUUGAUAGCUCAGCUGGGGAAGGACUGUGGGACUCUGAGAUCUGCACUCAUUUGAAACAAUAUCCUUGGAGUUCACUGGACUGGAUGAGAUUCACGUAACCAAGGCUGCCGUGUGGAGACGUCCUGACAGGAAUGGGCAGAAGCUCAGCUUUUGUUUAGCCAUCCUCUGUGCAGGUGCAGUUCAAUAAAUCAAAUGAUGCAUUAAC